Molecule: ribosomal RNA, 497 nt
Filed under: uncultured bacterium
Lineage: Bacteria
Description: partial 16S ribosomal RNA
Rfam family: Bacterial small subunit ribosomal RNA
Source: RNAcentral
GACGAACGCUGGCGGCGUGCCUAAUACAUGCAAGUUGAGCGCUGAAGGUUGGUACUUGUACCAACUGGAUGAGCAGCGAGCGGGUGAGUAACGCGUGGGGAAUCUGCCUUUGAGCGGGGGACAACAUUUGGAAACGAAUGCUAAUACCGCAUAAAAACUUUAAACACAAGUUUUAAGUUUGAAAGAUGCAAUUGCAUCACUCAAAGAUGAUCCCGCGUUGUAUUAGCUAGUUGGUGAGGUAAAGGCUCACCAAGGCGAUGAUACAUAGCCGACCUGAGAGGGUGAUCGGCCACAUUGGGACUGAGACACGGCCCAAACUCCUACGGGAGGCAGCAGUAGGGAAUCUUCGGCAAUGGACGAAAGUCUGACCGAGCAACGCCGCGUGAGUGAAGAAGGUUUUCGGAUCGUAAAACUCUGUUGGUAGAGAAGAACGUUGGUGAGAGUGGAAAGCUCAUCAAGUGACGGUAACUACCCAGAAAGGGACGGCUAACUACGUG